GCUACAUCGACUUAAUUAUAAGUCAAUACACUACCAAUCGACAAGCGUUAUUAUGAAAGCUAAUUACUGGAUUAAUCGGUUUAAUCAUAUAAACUCUAUUCUGCAGCUAAGGGUGAACUCUACCAAAUCUAUGAUAGGACAUCAGGACAGGUUGGGUACAUCCAAAUCUAAAUCUAGACAAUCUAGACAAAGAUGUGGACAUGAAGUUUCUGGUGGGACAAAAGAAAGAAAGACUUGAAAUCAAAGGUGGCCCUGCCAAAUUCAUUUGGGUUUGGGGGUCAUAACUCCUCAAUAUUAUUUGCCCCUUUUCAGUACA
Molecule: long non-coding RNA, 316 nt
Organism: Erigeron canadensis
Lineage: Eukaryota; Viridiplantae; Streptophyta; Magnoliopsida; Asterales; Asteraceae
Exons: 3
Source: RefSeq, a predicted model, not a curated record